This 68-nucleotide transfer RNA is filed under the name human gut metagenome. It matches the Rfam family "tRNA". Rfam says of the family: Transfer RNA (tRNA) molecules are approximately 80 nucleotides in length. Their secondary structure includes four short double-helical elements and three loops (D, anti-codon, and T loops). The record is from RNAcentral. RNAcentral also lists the same sequence under 1 other name.
CUUGUAGCUCAGUUGGAUAGAGUGUUUGGCUACGAACCAAAAGGUCGGGGGUUCGAAUCCCUUCAAGC